AGCGAGCAUUAUUCGGAAUGAUUAGGCGUAAAGAGUUUGUAGGUGGUUUUUUAAGUUGAAAGAAACAAAUUAAAGCUCAACUUUAUACAUUUUUUCAAAACUGAUAAACUAGAGUAUAAAUAGAGGAUAAUGGAAUUUCUAUUGGAGUGAUAAAAUACGUUGAUAAUAGAAGGAAGGCCUAUGGCGAAGGCAAUUAUCUGGGUAUAUACUGACACUGAGAAACGAAAGCUUGGGUAGCGAACGGGAUUAGAUACCCCGGUAGUCCAUGCCGUAAACGAUGAGUGCUAAUAUUUAGAAUUUUUAGAUAUAACAGCUAACGCGUUAAGCACUCCGCCUGAAAAGUAUAAUCGCAAGAUUGAAAUUCAAAGGAAUUGACGGGAGUCUACACAAGCGGUGGAGCAUGUGGUUUAAUUCGAUAAUACGCGCAAAACCUUACCAACUCUUGCUAAUUUUUAUAUAAAAUUUUAUAUAAAAAACAGGUGUUGCAUGGCUGUCGUCAGCUCGUGUUGUGAAAUGUUUGGUUAAAUCCUUUAACGAGCGCAACCCCUAUUGUUAGUUGCUAAUUUAUUAAAAUAAAAUAAAAGAACUUUAACAAAAAGAUUAAUGAUAGGUUAAUGGAAGAUGGGGAUGACGUCAAGUCUUUAUGGCCCUUAUGAGUUGGGCUACACACGUGCUACAAUGAUAAUCACAAUGAGAAGCAAUAAUGUUAAGUUGGAGCAAAUCUUUAAAAAUUAUCUUAGUUCGGAUUAAGGGCUGAAACUCGCCCUUAUGAAGUUGGAAUCGCUAGUAAUCGCAAAACAGCAUGUUGCGGUGAAUAUGUUACUGGACUUUGUACACACCGCCCGUCACAUCAGGGAAGUUAAUUAUUUUUAAAAUGAUUUUAAUGUAUUUAAUAAUUUUAAAUAACUAUUUAAUUAAAAUAAUUUAUAAUUUAAUUUAAAUAAAUUAAAAUACUUAGAAAGUAAUUAGUAACUUUGAUGAAGUCGUAACAAGGUAGUCGUAGGGGAACCUGUGUCUG
This 1018-nucleotide ribosomal RNA is filed under the name Sclerospora graminicola. RNAcentral describes it as "bacterial SSU rRNA". It matches the Rfam family "Bacterial small subunit ribosomal RNA", at positions 533 to 1520 of the family's 1533-position model. Lineage: Eukaryota; Oomycota; Peronosporomycetes; Peronosporales; Peronosporaceae. The record is from RNAcentral.